GAUUGUAGGAUCGUUAUUGUAACUCUUACAAUGUUAAUGAUAAUAGUAAUCAUUAGUAUGAUAAUGCUGUUGUAGUAAUCUUCAUUCAUUUCAGGCACAGAAGCUUUCAUUGCUCCAGAUUUAACAAUGAAGUGUGUCAGUGUACAAAAACAGGGAUUUUUAAGCUUAAAUGGUUGAACCAAAGUUUUUGAUCCUUGUUGCUGAUGACCCCUUCCCCUUUGCCUUUCCAUCUCUACUUCAGAAAAGGCCUGAGGAGCUCUGGAGGCUGUGCUGCAGCUUGUAGGAAUUUACAACAUGCACGUGUGCGCCAGGCUGUAUUGAUUUGUUUGUUGCUGCCAUGCUGAAUGGUCAGGAGACAAAGAAAUGAAACGGUAUGGCCACUCAUACUGUACAGCCUGGCUGCAGGGCACAUUUCACGCCUCCGUCACCGUGGAAACCCGGCAUCGGCUGAGCCUGGAGGGUGACAACAAAACCCCACAUUGGAGGAGAGAGUUCGUUUGCGCCCUGGCAGCAGGGUAGGUAGACAAAAAGAGACCUUUUCCUUUCUGAAACGACAAAAAAACUCCCACUGCAGUAAUUCUGCAGCUGACAGCUCUCUCACACAUGGAAGCAGUGUGAACGUCCAACUAAAACAAGCAUGAAUAGUCUGGAUCAGAAGAUUAUUUGCCUCUCUGCGUGUUUGCUUUUAAUGAGAGAUGCCAUUCACACCUUUCAAUUGCUAUUCAUUUCUGCUAUCGCUCACAUCUCCUCUACACAAUGUGCUGCCUUUGUGUGCUGAAUUAGACCUAUUGUGUGUGCAAACCUUCAGCUGCCUGUAUCGUGAUCUCUCAUCGCUUUGCCUUCAUGCACACAGAGAAAUUCAUUUCAGCUCUUUUAUUACAGCACAAGCACACAUUGCCAUUACCUGCCCUUUUUUAUACAGCCAAAUGGAAUAAAUGAGCAUUUAGUAGCACCAUAAAUAUGUUAACGCAAUGCUGACACAUGGACAAAUGUGAGCUCUUGAUUAAAAACACUCCUGUUUUGCAGCUAACAAACAACACUGAUGUUUCAGCUUCCAGACAAAUGAAUUGACAGUAAUUCUUACAUUAUGACAAUACUGAAUGCAUCUCUUUUAGCCUGCACUUGGUGCCAACAUCUGAAGCUGAACCCUCACUGCAAUUGUGAAUUUGAUCUUGAUGGUGAAGCCACUUGGGAACUUGUUUCUGUGAGUUGCCUGUGCAGGGCAGACGCCCAGGUCUGCUGUAGCGCCAGAUGGUGGUUCAUUAGAUCCUAUGUGUUGUGUGCUUGGUGUGAAGCGUAGGAGGAGCAGGGCGGAUGUUUGUUCCCAUCAACAGCCAGACUUUAAGUCUGGCUGGCUUCAUCCCUAUAUAAUGCUUCCAUUCCUCAGAGUGCCAGAGUGCCUGGCAUGCAAAGUGAUACUAGUGUGAAGUGUGAUGGGAGGAGACGUCGCCUUUUGUUUUGUUCUUGCUUUGAGUCAUGCUUCUGCUCACUUAAAGAGGAGUAACUUUUAUUGUAGUACUCUGUGUUUAAAUCCUGGCAUACAAAGGGCUUAGGGAAAAGCUGUUAAACAUGUACUGCACUGGAUUGUGUUUGUCAUUGUUCUGGGGUGUAUGUUAUUGACUUGAACUUGAACUUAACGCCUUUUGAAUAAUGUUAUCUUCCACUGUUGUAUACUGUAUCAACAAUCUGUCACGAUCAUGUUCUGUUCUGUUGAUGAACCCACUUGACCUCAGUAAAUUCCUAAAUUUCCCAGAGUGCCUCUCAACACCUGACUGUUUGUUCAUUCAUCACAGGAUUACUCCACAUGUGCAGGUAAACAGAACAAUAACAAUAGACAGUGUUAUCAUUAACAACAGAGGAGUCGUUUGAUGGACAGUGGAGAACAACUGAAGCUUUCAAAUCAAGACACAGUGAGUCGUGGUUUUAACCAUAAACACAUGAGUAUUUUUGUUGCCUUGAAUCUAUUGAGGCUGCACUUUCUAUCAAAGUAAUGACCAUCAUUGACUGCAUGACCUCAAAGAGGAAGAGAAAUAACAUAGUCCUCUUAUUUCAAUAAGGGAUGAUAGGUUUUACAAAAAGAUACAUUAUUUCACAGCAUUUUAUUUAAUCCAUUUUAGGAAAAAACAGGUUUUAAUAAACGAUAUUCAAGCCAUACUGUGGCUAAAAACAGCAAUUCAAAAGACGCAUUUCAAAUUGCAGAAGUGGUGGGACAACACUUCUCGUGUGUGAUUGGACAGAUCCCGGGUAAAUCGUUCGCUUGCGUAUGACGUCAGAGGAACGCGACUGAAGCCCGGAAGUGGAAAUGCAAUCAACGACUCCCAAAUUGUUCACAGGUGUGCAUAGUAUCUGGUUGCUCGGAUCGAUCGAAGACUGUUUUCCCACUCCAAAAUGAUAAUCAAUUGGCCGUUAUGUACACGGACCUUUGGACCGCCGCCUCCGUUUAUUAGUACUGUGAGAAAAUAUCCUUACCGAAGAAGCCUGGAUACUUGUCGAACACGAGUGAGACUAGACGCUGCGGCGCGAAGGUUUACUGGUUCAGCUGCUGCAGCCUGGACAGAAACACCAGGUCUCACCUGACAAACUAAACAGGUGUCACCACUUCGUCCACGAUCAGUCUUCAUACAAUGAAGAAGUUCUUUGAGACCAGGACUGAGGCCUCCAGGAUUCAAGCUUCAACCAUUAUAUCACAGAAAGAAGAGACAGAUGUGAAGACAUUUCCAGAAGGUCCUCAGCUGCUGUCGUCUUCUCCUCCUGCAAAGACAAGAACAUGUGUUAGUCACAGACACUGAUCAAAUAAUGUAUUUUUUCUUUCCUGAAAUGUCCUAACUGUGCUAACCUUACUAUGAAAUGUGGCUUAAGACAAAGAAACUAUCUUAACGCAGCCAUCUUACCUUUUUUUUCCCCCCACAGAAACACUCACACCUCUACACAGUAUAAUAUCAGUAUUCAAAUCCAAUCUAUUACUGUGUAUAUUGUCUUGUUUAUAAUUUUUACAUGUUGUUAUAUUACUCUUACCUCAAAGUAAAUGCUUCUGAACAAUUAACAUUUUGCUGGUCUGUUUAAUAUUGUAUGAAAGUGAAUAUUUGUAGCCUAGGGUUAGGGUUAGCCUUUUUCAUUUUUUAUGCUUUACUGUGUCGUGUGACAUUUUUACUUCUGCAUUGCUUUAGUGUUACAGAUUACUUUAACCGAUUACAUCUUACUUGUAAAUUAACAGAUAACAUUUACUGUUGCAAACUACAUCAAGUAACAGGUUAGUUUGACUAUUACAUCUAACUUCUGAUAUUGCUAAUUACUUUUACAUUACUUCUAUUAAUACAGAUUACUACUAUUAUUACACUUUUCUGAUAUACUGAACAUAAACAAUUUAAUGUCAGUGCUCUGUGUUGGACAGUUGAUGUAAAGCUGUUUGUGAAUUACCUGGAG
Lates calcarifer (barramundi perch) is the source of this 3423-nucleotide long non-coding RNA. RefSeq lists it as uncharacterized. The transcript is spliced from 5 exons. NCBI's taxonomy places the organism in Eukaryota, Metazoa, Chordata, Actinopteri, Centropomidae. The record is from RefSeq and is a predicted model, not a curated record.